This 747-nucleotide ribosomal RNA is filed under the name uncultured archaeon. RNAcentral describes it as "bacterial SSU rRNA". It matches the Rfam family "Archaeal small subunit ribosomal RNA", at positions 107 to 859 of the family's 1478-position model. The record is from RNAcentral.
AUCUGCCCUGAUGAAGAGAAUAAUCCCGGGAAACUGGGGGUAAUGCUCUAUAGUCCGGGAGGACUGGAAUGUUCUCCGGAUGAAAGAUCCGUCGCUUCAGGAUGAGUCUGCGGCCGAUUAGGUAGUUGUUGGGGUAAAAGCCCAACAAGCCUGUAAUCGGUACGGGUUGUGGGAGCAAGAGCCCGGAGAUGGAUUCUGAGACACGAAUCCAGGCCCUACGGGGCGCAGCAGGCGCGAAAACUUUACGAUGCGGGCAACCGUGAUAAGGAAACCCCGAGUGCCAGCACAGGCUGGCUGUCCACCAGUGUAAACAACUGGUGAAGAAAGGGCCGGGCAAGACCGGUGCCAGCCGCCGCGGUAAUACCGGCGGCUCGAGUGGUGGCCGCUUUUACUGGGCUUAAAGGGUCCGUAGCUGGAUCCAUGGGUCCCUUGAGAAAUCCAUCAGCUUAACUGCUGGGCGUUCAGGGGAAACUGUGGUUCUACGGACCGGGAGAGGUAAGAAGUACUGCCGGGGUAGGAGUGAAAUCCUGUAAUCCCGGUGGGACGACCUAUAGCGAAGGCAUCUUACCAGAACGGCUCCGACAGUGAGGGACGAAAGCUGGGGGAGCAAACCGGAUUAGAUACCCGGGUAGUCCCAGCUGUAAACGAUGCGCGUUAGGUGUGUCAGUGACCACGUGUCACUGAUGUGCCGAAGGGAAACCGUGAAACGCGCCGCCUGGGGAGUACGGUCGCAAGGCUGAAACUUAA